GACGAACGCUGGCGGCGUGCUUAACACAUGCCAGUCGAGCGGAAAGGCCCUGCUUUUGUGGGGUGCUCGAGUGGCGAACGGGUGAGUAACACGUGAGUAACCUGCCCUUGACUUUGGGAUAACUUCAGGAAACUGGGGCUAAUACCGGAUAGGAGCUCCUGCUGCAUGGUGGGGGUUGGAAAGUUUCGGCGGUUGGGGAUGGACUCGCGGCUUAUCAGCUUGUUGGUGGGGUAGUGGCUUACCAAGGCUUUGACGGGUAGCCGGCCUGAGAGGGUGACCGGCCACAUGGGGACUAAGAGACGGCCCAGACUGCUACGGUAGGCAGCAGUGGGGAAUAUUGCACAAUGGGCGGACGCCUGAUGUAGCAACGUCGCGUGCGGGAUGACGUGCUUCGGGUUGUAAACCGCUUUCGCCUGUGACGAAGCGUGAGUGACGGUAAUGGGUAAAGAAGCACCGGCUAACUACGUG
This 468-nucleotide ribosomal RNA is filed under the name uncultured bacterium. RNAcentral's name for it is "partial 16S ribosomal RNA". It matches the Rfam family "Bacterial small subunit ribosomal RNA", at positions 28 to 507 of the family's 1533-position model. The record is from RNAcentral.